UGACAGUUCGUGAGUGCAGCGCACCGGCUGUUUAGAUCGUGGGUAGUAACGAUCACUCACCGAGGAAGAAGGAAUCAAACGGAGACUAAUCAAACGAGCACGCGCUGUGAUUUAACGUGAUUAUCGUUAUCCUCCGUAGUUGUUCGCUCCGCGAAUAGCGUGACGAUUAUGGGAGGAUCUGUUCCGUGUGAUUGAGCGCAAGGUGUUUGAUUAGGCUUCCAAUCAUCUUAUUAUCUUGGGAAAGAAAUCACGAGAUUUUGACAUCAGUUCCGAAUUGAGAGAAAACAUUUUUGGAAUUUUUCUCUUGUCACAAACGCGAUUCGCCCCGAAUCGAGAGCUGUAAUUGAUUGAGUCGCUCGUGCGGUACUGGAACUGUUCGACGGCCAUGAGCGCAUCUUGCCGGCUAACGGUGUCAUUCUGUUCCUUGCCGUUGUCACCAUGCAAGCAAACCACCGUAUUCUGUAUUCACGAACAAAUAAAUAUCUUAAUCAAAUAGAAAGAAGAACAGUAUUAA
Acromyrmex echinatior (Panamanian leafcutter ant) is the source of this 514-nucleotide long non-coding RNA. RefSeq lists it as uncharacterized. NCBI's taxonomy places the organism in Eukaryota, Metazoa, Arthropoda, Insecta, Hymenoptera, Formicidae. The record is from RefSeq and is a predicted model, not a curated record.